GAUAAUUCAAAGAAGGAGAAAAAAUAAGGAAACCGAUUUAGCGACAAUGAGAUGGUGCAAGCAUUGACGGUGAACUUAUUCAGGACACUCCGGAGAAGAUUUUCUGAAAAGAGUAGGAAAAUACGUGAUACUGCGUUAAGGUCAAGGGCAUGAAUGAUCAUUCAUGAAUAAAGGUGGUACCGCGCGAAAGCGUCCUUUUU
Molecule: non-coding RNA, 200 nt
Filed under: Bulleidia extructa
Lineage: Bacteria; Bacillati; Bacillota; Erysipelotrichia; Erysipelotrichales; Erysipelotrichaceae
Description: T-box sequence
Rfam family: T-box leader
About the family: Uncharged tRNA acts as the effector for transcription antitermination of genes in the T-box leader family. T-boxes are found upstream of many aminoacyl-tRNA synthetase genes and some amino acid biosynthetic genes usually in Gram-positive bacteria.
Source: RNAcentral